This 863-nucleotide ribosomal RNA is filed under the name uncultured archaeon. RNAcentral describes it as "SSU rRNA". It matches the Rfam family "Archaeal small subunit ribosomal RNA", at positions 474 to 1337 of the family's 1478-position model. The record is from RNAcentral.
UACCAGCCCCCUGAGUGAUAGGGGUGAUUAUUUAGCCUAAAGCGUUCGUAGCCGGCUCAGCAAGUCUUUCGUUAAAUCUGACGACUCAAUCGUUAGCCUGCGGGAGAUACUACUGGGCUUGAGGGUGGGAGAGGUUGACGGUAUUUCCAGGGUAGGGGUGAAAUCCUAUAAUCCUGGGAGGACCACCAGUGGCGAAGGCGGUCAACUAGAACACGCCUGACGGUGAGGGACGAAAGCUGGGGUAGCGAACCGGAUUAGACACCCGGGUAGUCCCAGCCGUAAACGAUGCGGGCUAGGUGUUGGAGCAGCCACGAGCUGCUUCAGUGCCGCAGAGAAGUCGUUAAGCCCGCCGCUUGGGAAGUACGAUCGCAAGAUUGAAACUUAAAGGAAUUGGCGGGGGAGCACCACAAGGGGUGAAGCCUGCGGUUCAAUCGGAGUCAACGCCGGGAAACUUACCAGGGCUGACAGCAGAGUGAAGGCCAGACUGAAGAUCUUGCUCGACAAGCUGAGAGGUGGCGCAUGGCCGUCGACAGUUCGUGCCGUGAGGUGUCCUGUUAAGUCAGGAAACGAACGAGACCCUCGCUACUAGUUGCUACCAGAUCCCAACGGGAUGCUGAGGACUCUAGUAGGACUGCCGUCGACAAGACGGAGGAAGGAGUGGGCAACGGCAGGUCGGUAUGCCCCGAAUGCCCUGGGCCACACGCGGGCUGCAAAGGUAGGGACAAUGGGCUCUGACCUCGAAAGGGGGAAGCAAUCCCGAAACCCUAUCGUAGUUGGGAUUGAGGGCUGUAACCCGCCCUCAUGAACCUGGAAUCCCUAGUAAUCGCGCGUCAUCAUCGCGCGGUGAAUACGUCCCCGCUCCU